GAUCAUUAACAAAUCCAAUAAUUGUGGAAGGACUAACUAUCCUUUCUGCAAAUAUUAAUCCGCCGGUAGCUCUUUGUAGCAACUGGCUGUGAUAUAAAUGCGUGUUAUGUUGACGGUGUGUGUAAUUAAAAUUAUUGACAACUUUUAACAAUGGAUCUCUAGGCUCUUGCAGCGAUGAAGAACGCAGCAAAGUGCGAAAAGUGUUGCGAUUUGCACGAAUCUGUGAGUCAUCUAAUCUUUGAACGCGAAUGGCACUGUUACGCAAGUAGCAGUAUGUCUGUUUGAGAAUCGCAAAACUCGAUCAACUCUAGUUAAGAGUUGGGAUUGACCUCAUAUGCAGUUGCAUAUCUGGUUUGAAUGUAUCAAGUUGAUGAGCUUCCCAACGUUGCUCAAUGUGUGCUAGCGAGACAGUCGUCCCGAUCUCACAUUAAAACACUGUUGCAAGGUUCUAUAUACAACUUUUUAUUAUUUAUUAUCAUCAAUUACGAUCUCAAAUCAGGCAAGAUUACCCGCUGAACUUAAGCAUAUCAAUAAGCGGAGGAAAAGAAACUAACAAGGAUUCCCUCAGUAACGGCGAGUGAAGCGGGAAGAGCUCAAAUUUAAAAUCUGGUGUAAAAACCCGAAUUGUAGUCUAAAGAGGCGUUAUCGGACACGAGUCUGUCGUACAAGUUCCCUGGAAUGGGACAUCACAGAGGGUGAGAAUCCCGUCUGGACGAUGGACGAAUGGCCAUAUGAGACGUUCUCAAAGAGUCGAGUUGUUUGGGAUUGCAGCUCAAAAUGGGAGGUAAAUUUCUUCUAAGGCUAAAUAUUGGCCUGAGACCGAUAGCGAACAAGUACCGUGAGGGAAAGAUGAAAAGCACUUUGAAAAGAGAGUCAAGCAGUACGUGAAAUUGCUGAAAGGGAAACGCUUGAAGUCAGUCGCGCCCCCUGGAAUUCAGCCCUGCUUUUGUAGGGUGUACUUUCCAGGGGGUGGGCCAACAUCAGUUUUGACCGGCAGAUAAAGGCUGGGGGAAUGUGGCUCCUUCGGGAGUGUUAUAGCCCCCAGUCACAUAUGCCGGUUGGGACUGAGGAACGCAGCGCGCCCUUGUGGCAGGCCUUCGGGC
This 1103-nucleotide ribosomal RNA is filed under the name uncultured fungus. RNAcentral's name for it is "eukaryotic LSU rRNA". The stretch from base 486 to 1103 matches the Rfam family "Eukaryotic large subunit ribosomal RNA", at positions 1 to 624 of the family's 3401-position model. The record is from RNAcentral. Lineage: Eukaryota; Fungi.